RNAcentral lists this ribosomal RNA (115 nucleotides) under Simulium sp. 5 BR-2011. Its description in RNAcentral is "partial 28S ribosomal RNA". It matches the Rfam family "Eukaryotic large subunit ribosomal RNA", at positions 1 to 115 of the family's 3401-position model. Lineage: Eukaryota; Metazoa; Arthropoda; Insecta; Diptera; Simuliidae. The record is from RNAcentral.
UAGCCUCAACUCAUGUGAGACUACCCCCUGAAUUUAAGCAUAUUAAUAAGGGGAGGAAAAGAAACUAAAUAGGAUUCUCUUAGUAGCGGCGAGCGAAAAGGGAAAAGUCCAGCCG